This 484-nucleotide ribosomal RNA is filed under the name uncultured bacterium. RNAcentral describes it as "partial 16S ribosomal RNA". It matches the Rfam family "Bacterial small subunit ribosomal RNA", at positions 30 to 507 of the family's 1533-position model. The record is from RNAcentral.
AUUGAACGCUGGCGGCAGGCCUAACACAUGCAAGUCGAGCGGAUGAAGGGAGCUUGCUCCUGGAUUCAGCGGCGGACGGGUGAGUAAUGCCUAGGAAUCUGCCUGGUAGUGGGGGAUAACGUCCGGAAACGGGCGCUAAUACCGCAUACGUCCUGAGGGAGAAAGUGGGGGAUCUUCGGACCUCACGCUAUCAGAUGAGCCUAGGUCGGGUUAGCUAGUUGGUGGGGUAAAGGCCUACCAAGGCGACGAUCCGUAACUGGUCUGAGAGGAUGAUCAGUCACACUGGAACUGAGACACGGUCCAGACUCCUACGGGAGGCAGCAGUGGGGAAUAUUGGACAAUGGGCGAAAGCCUGAUCCAGCCAUGCCGCGUGUGUGAAGAAGGUCUUCGGAUUGUAAAGCACUUUAAGUUGGGAGGAAGGGCAGUAAGUUAAUACCUUGCUGUCUUGACGUUACCAACAGAAUAAGCACCGGCUAACUUCGUG